GACGAACGCUGGCGGCGUGCCUAAUACAUGCAAGUCGAACGAACCGCGACUAGGUGCUUGCACUUGGUCAAGGUGAGUGGCGAACGGGUGAGUAACACGUGGGUAACCUACCUCAUAGUGGGGGAUAACAGUCGGAAACGACUGCUAAUACCGCAUAGGACAUAGGAUCACAUGAUUCUGUGAGGAAAGGUGGCGCAAGCUAUCGCUAAGAGAUGGACCCGCGGUGCAUUAGCUAGUUGGUAGGGUAAAGGCCUACCAAGGCGAUGAUACAUAGCCGACCUGAGAGGGUGAUCGGCCACAUUGGGACUGAGACGCGGCCCAAACUCCUACGGGAGGCAGCAGUAGGGAAUCUUCCGCAAUGGACGCAAGUCUGACGGAGCAACGCCGCGUGAGUGAAGAAGGUCUUCGGAUCGUAAAGCUCUGUUGUUGGAGAAGAACAGCGCAUAGAGUAACUGUUAUGCGUGUGACGGUAUCUAACCAGAAAGCCACGGCUAACUACGUG
Molecule: ribosomal RNA, 502 nt
Filed under: uncultured bacterium
Lineage: Bacteria
Description: partial 16S ribosomal RNA
Rfam family: Bacterial small subunit ribosomal RNA
Source: RNAcentral